RNAcentral lists this ribosomal RNA (202 nucleotides) under uncultured delta proteobacterium. RNAcentral's name for it is "partial 16S ribosomal RNA". It matches the Rfam family "Bacterial small subunit ribosomal RNA", at positions 338 to 524 of the family's 1533-position model. The record is from RNAcentral. Lineage: Bacteria; Deltaproteobacteria.
CCUACGGGAGGCAGCACUGGGGAAUCUUCCGCAAUGCGGGGCGAAAGCCUGACGCAGCGACGCCGCGUGCGGGAUGAAGGCUUUCGGGUCGUAAACCUCUGUCGGCAGGGAAGAAACGACGUUGUUCUAAUCAGCCUUUGUCUCUAAAGACGGUACCUUCAAAGGAAGCACCGGCUAACUCCGUGCCAUCAGCCGCGUUAAU